UUAAGGAAGCAUGGACCUGGAAAGGU
This 26-nucleotide non-coding RNA is filed under the name Rattus norvegicus (Norway rat). The record is from RNAcentral. Lineage: Eukaryota; Metazoa; Chordata; Mammalia; Rodentia; Muridae.